AUUGAACGCUGGCGGCAUGCCUUACACAUGCAAGUCGAACGGCAGCACGGGAGCAAUCCUGGUGGCGAGUGGCGAACGGGUGAGUAAUAUAUCGGAACGUGCCCAGUCGUGGGGGAUAACGUAGCGAAAGCUACGCUAAUACCGCAUACGAUCUAUGGAUGAAAGCGGGGGAUCGCAAGACCUCGCGCGAUUGGAGCGGCCGAUAUCAGAUUAGGUAGUUGGUGGGGUAAAAGCCUACCAAGCCUUCGAUCUGUAGCUGGUCUGAGAGGACGACCAGCCACACUGGAACUGAGACACGGUCCAGACUCCUACGGGAGGCAGCAGUGGGGAAUUUUGGACAAUGGGCGCAAGCCUGAUCCAGCAAUGCCGCGUGAGUGAAGAAGGCCUCGGUUG
Molecule: ribosomal RNA, 393 nt
Filed under: uncultured bacterium
Lineage: Bacteria
Description: bacterial SSU rRNA
Rfam family: Bacterial small subunit ribosomal RNA
Source: RNAcentral